GUGCUCACUUUGGUAGUACAUAUACUAAAAUUGGAACAAUACAGAGAUUAGCAUGGCCCCUGCACAAGGAGGACACAACAAUUCGUGAAAUGUUCCAUAAAAAA
Small nuclear RNA from Suncus etruscus (white-toothed pygmy shrew), 104 nucleotides. NCBI's taxonomy places the organism in Eukaryota, Metazoa, Chordata, Mammalia, Eulipotyphla, Soricidae. The record is from RefSeq and is a predicted model, not a curated record.